RNAcentral lists this ribosomal RNA (253 nucleotides) under uncultured bacterium. RNAcentral describes it as "partial 16S ribosomal RNA". It matches the Rfam family "Bacterial small subunit ribosomal RNA", at positions 524 to 776 of the family's 1533-position model. The record is from RNAcentral.
GACGAACCGUGCGAACGUUGUUCGGAAUCACUGGGCUUAAAGGGCGCGUAGGCGGUUUGCCAAGUCAGGGGUGAAAUCCUGCAGCUCAACUGUAGAAGUGCCUUUGAUACUGGCGAACUCGAGGGAGGUAGGGGUGGGUGGAACUUCUGGUGGAGCGGUGAAAUGCGUUGAUAUCAGAAGGAACGCCGGUGGCGAAAGCGACCCACUGGAUCUCUACUGACGCUGAGGCGCGAAAGCUAGGGGAGCAAACGGG